Molecule: long non-coding RNA, 1029 nt
Organism: Mytilus californianus (California mussel)
Lineage: Eukaryota; Metazoa; Mollusca; Bivalvia; Mytilida; Mytilidae
Exons: 3
Source: RefSeq, a predicted model, not a curated record
ACGUUAUGUCGGUCAAGAGUAAGUCGACAAAAGUUGGAACUAACACUUAAACAAUAAAUGGAAAGACAAGUACGACUGUUAACGAAGAGGAGAAGUUUACGUAUUCAGAUAGAUGGUCAGAGGUCAAAACUAGAGAAUUGAUAGUAAAAGGUCCCCCGCCAUCUAAGGAACAAAUACAAGCAUUCGUAAACUCCGACGAUGUUAACGAGGAUGCUUUGAAAAAUCUAAGUUUGUAGUCUAAACCUCUGCAGCAAAAGAAAUUUUGCCAAUUAAUAACCAUCAAAAUCCUUCACCAAAUACAUCAUUAAAACAUGGACAACCACCCGGUGAAUAUGCACAACAAGUGUUACACACACAUUAAGAUUAAGAGCUAAACAUGGCGUACCAGCAUUGACCUGCUUAGCUGACUUGUGUGCAAUGGCUCAAAAGUGGGCUGAUCAUCUUCUUGCAAAUAAUUUGACUGGACAUAGUACGGAUGACCAAAAUGUUGGAGCUGGUGAAAAUAUUGCAAAUAGAAUGGGAACAAUGAAAGAUUUAGACUAUUCAGGUAUAAUAAAAUAUAUUGUAAGAAUCACUCACUUUUUGUGGACGCACUGCACUUAUAGUGUUUUUGCCAUGAUUUUUCUUCAACAUUAUAAUAGAAAAACAAAGGAUAUGGGGUAUCCAUUCAUGACACAAAAUCAGUACAUGUCAAGCAAAAAAGUAAAAUAACAAAAAUAACAAACUCCAAGGAAAAUUCAAAACGGAAAGUCCUUUAUAAAUAUAAUAUAUCAGACCACAGAAACACGUGUAAUCUACAAGGAGAAUCAGUAACCAAGUUAAAAUCGAUCUAAGAAUGUAACUUUGGGAUAUCAUUUGUAAUUAUUUGCAAUUAACAUUUUUGAUUUAGCUAAAGAUGCCUCAGAAUCAUGGUACAGUGAAAUAAAAAAUUAUGGAUCAUACUUUGGAAAAGAGCCGCCAGAUUCCGGGCGAGUACCUGCAAAUGGUCACUUUACUCAAGUUGUAUGGAAAGAUACCAAGGAAAUGGGA